Molecule: ribosomal RNA, 546 nt
Filed under: uncultured bacterium
Lineage: Bacteria
Description: bacterial SSU rRNA
Rfam family: Bacterial small subunit ribosomal RNA
Source: RNAcentral
AAUAGAUACCCGGGUAGUCCACCCCGUAAACGUUGGGACUAGUUGUGGGGUCCUUUCCACGGAUUCCGUGACGCAGCUAACGCAUUAAGUUCCCCGCCUGGGGAGUACGGCCGCAAGGCUAAAACUCAAAGGAAUUGACGGGGACCCGCACAAGCGGCGGAGCAUGCGGAUUAAUUCGAUGCAACGCGAAGAACCUUACCAAGGCUUGACAUACACCAGAACACCCUAGAAAUAGGGGACUCUUUGGACACUGGUGAACAGGUGGUGCAUGGUUGUCGUCAGCUCGUGUCGUGAGAUGUUGGGUUAAGUCCCGCAACGAGCGCAACCCUCGUUCUAUGUUGCCAGCACGUAAUGGUGGGAACUCAUGGGAUACUGCCGGGGUCAACUCGGAGGAAGGUGGGGAUGACGUCAAAUCAUCAUGCCCCUUAUGUCUUGGGCUUCACGCAUGCUACAAUGGCCGGUACAAAGGGCUGCAAUACCGUGAGGUGGAGCGAAUCCCAAAAAGCCGGUCUCAGUUCGGAUUGGGGUCUGCAACUCGACCCCAUG